Molecule: ribosomal RNA, 484 nt
Filed under: uncultured bacterium
Lineage: Bacteria
Description: partial 16S ribosomal RNA
Rfam family: Bacterial small subunit ribosomal RNA
Source: RNAcentral
AUUGAACGCUGGCGGCAUGCUUUACACACGCAAGUCGAACGGCAGCGCGGGCUUCGGCCUGGCGGCGAGUGGCGAACGGGUGAGUAAUGCAUCGGAACGUGCCCAGUAGUGGGGGAUAGCCCGGCGAAAGCCGGAUUAAUACCGCAUACGACCUGAGGGUGAAAGCGGGGGACCGAAAGGCCUCGCGCUAUUGGAGCGGCCGAUGUCGGAUUAGCUAGUUGGUGGGGUAAAGGCUUACCAAGGCGACGAUCCGUAGCUGGUCUGAGAGGACGACCAGCCACACUGGGACUGAGACACGGCCCAGACUCCUACGGGAGGCAGCAGUGGGGAAUUUUGGACAAUGGGGGCAACCCUGAUCCAGCCAUGCCGCGUGCGAGAAGAAGGCCUUCGGGUUGUAAACCGCUUUUGUUCGGGAAGAAAUCCUCUGGGCUAAUACCCCGGGGGGAUGACGGUACCGGAAGAAUAAGCACCGGCUAACUACGUG